RNAcentral lists this ribosomal RNA (463 nucleotides) under uncultured bacterium. RNAcentral describes it as "partial 16S ribosomal RNA". It matches the Rfam family "Bacterial small subunit ribosomal RNA", at positions 28 to 507 of the family's 1533-position model. The record is from RNAcentral.
GACGAACGCUGGCGGCGUGCUUAAACAUGCAAGGCGAACGGAAAGGCCCAGCUUGCUGGGUGCUCGAGUGGCGAACGGGUGGGUAACACGUGGGUGAUCUGCCUCUAACUUCGGGAUAAGCUUGGGAAACUGGGUCUAAUACCGGAGAGGACAAACGAUUAGUGUCGGUUGUGGAAAGGUUUUUCGGUUAGGGAUGAGCCCGCGGCCUAUCAGCUUGUUGGUGGGGUAAUGGCCUACCAAGGCGACGACGGGGAGCGGGCCUGAGCGGGUGGGCGGCCACAUUGGGUCUGAGCUGCGGCCCAGACUCCUACGCUAGGCGGCAGUGCGGUAUAGUGUCCAAUGGGCUCAAGCCUGAUGCAGCGACGCCGCGUGGGGGAUGACGGCCUUCGGUUUGUAUUCCUCUUUCGUCAGGGACGAAGCUUUGGUGACGGUACCUGUAGAAGAAGCCCCGGCUAACUACGUG